UACGUAUGGACCGAGCGUUGUCCGGAAUCAUUGGGCGUAAAGGGUUCGCAGGCGGCAUGGCAAGUCCGAUGUAAAAGGCGAAAGCUCAACUUUCGUAAGCAUCGGAAACUGUCAAGCUUGAGUGAAGGAGAGGCAAGUGGAAUUCCUAGUGUAGCGGUGGAAUGCGUAGAUAUUAGGAGGAAUACCGGUGGCGAAGGCGACUUUUUGGCCAUAAACUGACGCUGAGGUACGAAAGCGUGGGUAGCAAACAGG
This 252-nucleotide ribosomal RNA is filed under the name uncultured bacterium. RNAcentral's name for it is "partial 16S ribosomal RNA". It matches the Rfam family "Bacterial small subunit ribosomal RNA", at positions 524 to 776 of the family's 1533-position model. The record is from RNAcentral.